GUUCUCUAGCAACAAGCAUCCAAAUUGGUGAUCCUUCACUCAUGGUCGUCUCUAAUUCUUUAGCACCUAUCAGAUUGAGGCUUUUCUUCUUGAGAUUUUCUUUUGGUCCAUCGCCUAUCUUUCUAUUAGUAGCCUUAGGUGGGAAAGGAUUAAUCGUGAUCUUCUUACCCUGAUGAGUAAAGCUACAGGAGUUGGUACAGUCAUAAAUCAUAACAUCAUUAUCGAAUAGCCAAGGCUGACCUAAUAUGAUACUUCCAACUUCCAUGGGUAAGACAUCGCACCAUACAUGAUCCUGAUAGGAAUGAAGCUGGAUGGGUACACGGCAUCUAAAUUUGAU
Molecule: long non-coding RNA, 337 nt
Filed under: Elaeis guineensis (African oil palm)
Lineage: Eukaryota; Viridiplantae; Streptophyta; Magnoliopsida; Arecales; Arecaceae
Description: long non-coding RNA (EGUI_LNC031678)
Source: RNAcentral